UGGGGAAUAUUGCACAAUGGGCGCAAGCCUGAUGCAGCCAUGCCGCGUGUAUGAAGAAGGCCUUCGGGUUGUAAAGUACUUUCAGCGGGGAGGAAGGGAGUAAAGUUAAUACCUUUGCUCAUUGACGUUACCCGCAGAAGAAGCACCGGCUAACUCCGUGCCAGCAGCCGCGGUAAUACGGAGGGUGCAAGCGUUAAUCGGAAUUACUGGGCGUAAAGCGCACGCAGGCGGUUUGUUAAGUCAGAUGUGAAAUCCCCGGGCUCAACCUGGGAACUGCAUCUGAUACUGGCAAGCUUGAGUCUCGUAGAGGGGGGUAGAAUUCCAUGUGUAGCGGUGAAAUGCGUAGAGAUCUGGAGGAAUACCGGUGGCGAAGGCGGCCCCCUGGACGAAGACUGACGCUCAGGUGCGAAAGCGUGGGGAGCAAACAGG
This 429-nucleotide ribosomal RNA is filed under the name Chloroflexota bacterium. RNAcentral describes it as "Chloroflexi bacterium partial 16S ribosomal RNA". It matches the Rfam family "Bacterial small subunit ribosomal RNA", at positions 355 to 776 of the family's 1533-position model. Lineage: Bacteria; Bacillati; Chloroflexota. The record is from RNAcentral.